GAUGAAGAACGCAGCGAAAUGCGAUAAGUAAUGUGAAUUGCAGAAUUCAGUGAAUCAUCGAAUCUUUGAACGCACAUUGCGCCCUCUGGUAUUCCGGGGGGCAUGCCAGUUCGAGCGUCAUUAUAACCACUCAAGCUCUCGCUUGGUAUUGGAGUUCGCGAUCUCGCGGCUCCUAAAAUCAGUGGCGGUGCCUGUCGGCUCUACGCGUAGUAAUACUCCUCGCGAUUGAGUCCGGUAGGUUUACUUGCCAGCAACCCCCAAUUUUUAAAGGUUGACCUCGGAUCAGGUAGGGAUACCCGCUGAACUUAAGCAUAUCAAUAAGCGGAGGA
RNAcentral lists this unclassified non-coding RNA (329 nucleotides) under soil metagenome. Its description in RNAcentral is "partial contains 5.8S ribosomal RNA, internal transcribed spacer 2, and large subunit ribosomal RNA". The stretch from base 1 to 120 matches the Rfam family "5.8S ribosomal RNA", at positions 35 to 154 of the family's 154-position model. The record is from RNAcentral.